RNAcentral lists this unclassified non-coding RNA (2000 nucleotides) under Mus musculus (house mouse). RNAcentral describes it as "partial external transcribed spacer". Lineage: Eukaryota; Metazoa; Chordata; Mammalia; Rodentia; Muridae. The record is from RNAcentral.
ACUGACACGCUGUCCUUUCCCUAUUAACACUAAAGGACAUAGAAGAGACCCUUUCGAUUUAAGGCUGUUUUGUUGUCCAGCCUAUUUUUUACUGGCGGGUCUGUCCGGGCCUGAAGCUGUCCCGAGCACGUUCUGUUUCCCGGCUGUGCCGUGGUUGUGGGCAGGUGACAACUGGGGUGUGACUUUGGUGUCAGACUUUUUUCCCGAUUUCCCGAGGUGUGUUGUCACACCUGUCCCGGUUGGAAUGGUGGAGCCAGCUGUGGUUGAGGGCCGCCUUAUUUCGGCUCACUUUUUUUUUUUUUCUCUUGGAGUCCCGAACCUCCGCUCUUUUCUCUUCCCGGUCUUUCUUCCACAUGCCUCCCGAGUGCAUUUCUUUUUGUUUUUUUUCUUUUUUUUUUGGGGGGGGAGGUGGAGAGUCCCGAGUACUUCACUCCUGUCUGCGGUGUCCAAGUGUUCAUGCCACGUGCCUCCCGAGUGCACUUUUUUUUGUGGCAGUCGCUCGUUGUGUUCUCUUGUUCUGUGUCUGCCCGUAUCAGUAACUGUCUUGCCCCGCGUGUAAGACAUUCCUAUCUCGCUUGUUUCUCCCGAUUGCGCGUCGUUGCUCACUCUUAGAUCGAUGUGGUGCUCCGGAGUUCUCUUCGGGCCAGGGCCUAAGCCGCGCCAGGCGAGGGACGGACAUUCAUGGCGAAUGGCGGCCGCUCUUCUCGUUCUGCCAGCGGGCCCCUCGUCUCUCCACCCCAUCCGUCUGCCGGUGGUGUGUGGAAGGCAGGGGUGCGGCUCUCCGGCCCGAGCGCUGCCCCGCGCGCACUUUUCUCAGUGGUUCGCGUGGUCCUUGUGGAUGUGUGAGGCGCCCGGUUGUGCCCUCACGUGUUUCACUUUGGUCGUGUCUCGCUUGACCAUGUUCCCAGAGUCGGUGGAUGUGGCCGGUGGCGUGCAUACCCCUUCCCGUCUGGUGUGUGCACGCGCUGUUUCUUGUAAGCCUCGAGGUGCUCCUGGAGCGUUCCAGGUUUGUCUCCUAGGUGCCUGCUUCUGAGCUGGUGGUGGCGCUUCCCAUUCCCUGGUGUGCCUCCGGUGCUCCGUCUGGCUGUGUGCCUUCCCGUUUGUGUCUGAGAAGCCUGUGAGAGGGGGGUCGAGGAGAGGAGGGGCAAGAGCCCCCUUCUUCGUCGGGUGAGCGCCCACCCCGCGCACUAGUACGCCUGUGCGUAGGGCUGGUGCUGAGCGGUCGCGGCUGGCCUUGGAAAGUUUCUCGAGACUCAUUGCUUUCCCGUGGGGAGCUUUGAGAGGCCUGGCUUUCGGGGGGGACCGGUUGCAGGGUCUCCCCUGUCCGCGGAUGCUCAGAAUGCCCUUGGAAGGGAACCUUCCUGUUGCCGCAGACCCCCCCGCGCGGUCCCCCGCGUGUUGGUCUUCUGGUUUCCCUGUGUGCUCGUCGCAUGCAUCCUCUCUCGGUGGCCGGGGCUCGUCGGGGUUUUGGGUCCGUCCCGCCCUCAGUGAGAAAGUUUCCUUCUCUAGCUAUCUUCCGGAAAGGGUGCGGGCUUCUUACGGUCUCGAGGGGUCUCUCCCGAAUGGUCCCCUCGAGGGCUCGCCCCCUGACCGCCUCCCGCGCGCGCAGCGUUUGCUCUCUCGUCUACCGCGGCCCGCGCCUCCCCGCUCCGAGUUCGGGGAGGGAUCACGCGGGGCAGAGCCUGUCUGUCGUCCUGCCGUUGCUGCGGAGCCAUGUGGCUCCGGUUGUGUGGUGGUGGCUGGGGAGAGGGCUCCGUGCACACCCCCGCGUGCGCGGUACUUUCCUCCCCUCGUGAGGGCCGCCGUGCGGGACGGGGUGUGGGUAGGCGACGGUGGGCUCCCGGGUCCCCACCCGUCUUCCCGUGCCUCACCCGUGCCUUCCGUCGCGUGCGUCCCUCUCGCUCGCGUCCACGACUUUGGCCGCUCCCGCGACGCGGGCCUGCGCCGCGCGUGGUGCGUGCUGUGUGCUUCUCGGGCUGUGUGGUUGUGUCGCCUCGCCC